GGCCGCUUGGUCUAGUAGUAUGAUUCCUGUUUUGGGAGUUCAACACAGAGCUUACGUAAUACAGGAGGUCAUGGGUUCAAUUCCCAUAGCGGCCC
RNAcentral lists this transfer RNA (95 nucleotides) under Rhizoctonia solani AG-8 WAC10335. It matches the Rfam family "tRNA". Rfam says of the family: Transfer RNA (tRNA) molecules are approximately 80 nucleotides in length. Lineage: Eukaryota; Fungi; Basidiomycota; Agaricomycetes; Cantharellales; Ceratobasidiaceae. The record is from Rfam by way of RNAcentral.